RNAcentral lists this ribosomal RNA (761 nucleotides) under uncultured bacterium. Its description in RNAcentral is "bacterial SSU rRNA". It matches the Rfam family "Bacterial small subunit ribosomal RNA", at positions 40 to 796 of the family's 1533-position model. The record is from RNAcentral.
CGGCAGGCCUAACACAUGCAAGUCGAGCGGUAGAGAGAAGCUUGCUUCUCUUGAGAGCGGCGGACGGGUGAGUAAUGCCUAGGAAUCUGCCUGGUAGUGGGGGAUAACGUUCGGAAACGGACGCUAAUACCGCAUACGUCCUACGGGAGAAAGCAGGGGACCUUCGGGCCUUGCGCUAUCAGAUGAGCCUAGGUCGGAUUAGCUAGUUGGUGAGGUAAUGGCUCACCAAGGCGACGAUCCGUAACUGGUCUGAGAGGAUGAUCAGUCACACUGGAACUGAGACACGGUCCAGACUCCUACGGGAGGCAGCAGUGGGGAAUAUUGGACAAUGGGCGAAAGCCUGAUCCAGCCAUGCCGCGUGUGUGAAGAAGGUCUUCGGAUUGUAAAGCACUUUAAGUUGGGAGGAAGGGUUGUAGAUUAAUACUCUGCAAUUUUGACGUUACCGACAGAAUAAGCACCGGCUAACUCUGUGCCAGCAGCCGCGGUAAUACAGAGGGUGCAAGCGUUAAUCGGAAUUACUGGGCGUAAAGCGCGCGUAGGUGGUUUGUUAAGUUGGAUGUGAAAUCCCCGGGCUCAACCUGGGAACUGCAUUCAAAACUGACUGACUAGAGUAUGGUAGAGGGUGGUGGAAUUUCCUGUGUAGCGGUGAAAUGCGUAGAUAUAGGAAGGAACACCAGUGGCGAAGGCGACCACCUGGACUAAUACUGACACUGAGGUGCGAAAGCGCGGGGAGCAAACAGGAUUAGAUACCCUGGUAGUCC